CUGGCUCCGGUUCACGUCACGACAUCCCGUCGUGCCGACCCGGCGGCC
This is a non-coding RNA of Jiangella alkaliphila, 48 nucleotides long. The record is from Rfam. Lineage: Bacteria; Bacillati; Actinomycetota; Actinomycetes; Jiangellales; Jiangellaceae.